GUCAUUUAUAGGAAAAUGUAUGGAACUUGAGAACAUUAUGUUAAGCAAAAUAAGCCAAACUCAGAAACUGUCAAGAGUCAGUCAUAUGUUUUCUCUCAUAUGUGGAAGACAGAGAACAAAGGGCAAAAAAUUUAAAAGGAGAGGGUGGGGCAUCUCAUGAAAUUAGAAGUGAAACCAGCAGAGUAGAAGAAGGGGACCAGGGUAUGGAGGAGGGAAGGAAAAGUGAAGGUACAAGGGAAUGAGAUUGAUCAAAUUAUGUGCAUGUAUGAAUGUGUCACUAUUAUGUAUAAUUAUGCUGCACCAAUUAAAAAUUAAUUUAAAUAAAAAUAUGUAUAAAAGAGAAAAGUGCACUAAAAUAUUUCAAAUUUUUGAUAGCCCCAAACUGAUAAUCAGCCAACUGUUCAGUAAUAGGAUGGAAUUUUAUGUAGGUAGUAAAAUUAGGUAAAAAUAGGAAGAGCUUUCGUUAAUUGAGUUGUUAUUAGCUCAUUUGAAAUAAAUUAUUUUAUUUGAUCCUCAUAACAGCUCUAUGAGGUAGGUGUUAUUAUCAUAUUAUUUCUUCUCACUCAUAGAUGAGGAAAAU
RNAcentral lists this long non-coding RNA (580 nucleotides) under Marmota monax (woodchuck). Lineage: Eukaryota; Metazoa; Chordata; Mammalia; Rodentia; Sciuridae. The record is from RNAcentral.